This 520-nucleotide ribosomal RNA is filed under the name uncultured Streptococcus sp. Its description in RNAcentral is "bacterial SSU rRNA". It matches the Rfam family "Bacterial small subunit ribosomal RNA", at positions 1 to 516 of the family's 1533-position model. The record is from RNAcentral. Lineage: Bacteria; Bacillati; Bacillota; Bacilli; Lactobacillales; Streptococcaceae.
AUGAGGUUUUUGAUCUGGCUCAGGACGAACGCUGGCGGCGUGCCUAAUACAUGCAAGUAGAACGCUGAAGGAGGAGCUUGCUUCUCUGGAUGAGUUGCGAACGGGUGAGUAACGCGUAGGUAACCUGCCUGGUAGCGGGGGAUAACUAUUGGAAACGAUAGCUAAUACCGCAUAACAGUAGAUGUUGCAUGACAUUUGCUUAAAAGGUGCAAUUGCAUCACUACCAGAUGGACCUGCGUUGUAUUAGCUAGUUGGUGGGGUAACGGCUCACCAAGGCGACGAUACAUAGCCGACCUGAGAGGGUGAUCGGCCACACUGGGACUGAGACACGGCCCAGACUCCUACGGGAGGCAGCAGUAGGGAAUCUUCGGCAAUGGACGGAAGUCUGACCGAGCAACGCCGCGUGAGUGAAGAAGGUUUUCGGAUCGUAAAGCUCUGUUGUAAGAGAAGAACGAGUGUGAGAGUGGAAAGUUCACACUGUGACGGUAUCUUACCAGAAAGGACGGCUAACUACUCAGAC